RNAcentral lists this ribosomal RNA (1346 nucleotides) under uncultured bacterium. RNAcentral describes it as "partial 16S ribosomal RNA". It matches the Rfam family "Bacterial small subunit ribosomal RNA", at positions 28 to 1381 of the family's 1533-position model. The record is from RNAcentral.
GACGAACGCUGGCGGCGUGCUUAACACAUGCAAGUCGAACGGAAAGGCCCUGCUUUUGUGGGGUGCUCGAGUGGCGAACGGGUGAGUAACACGUGAGUAACCUGCCCUUGACUUUGGGAUAACUUCAGGAAACUGGGGCUAAUACCGGAUAGGAGCUCCUGCUGCAUGGUGGGGGUUGGAAAGUUUCGGCGGUUGGGGAUGGACUCGCGGCUUAUCAGCUUGUUGGUGGGGUAGUGGCUUACCAAGGCUUUGACGGGUAGCCGGCCUGAGAGGGUGACCGGCCACAUUGGGACUGAGAUACGGCCCAGACUCCUACGGGAGGCAGCAGUGGGGAAUAUUGCACAAUGGGCGGAAGCCUGAUGCAGCAACGCCGCGUGCGGGAUGACGGCCUUCGGGUUGUAAACCGCUUUCGCCUGUGACGAAGCGUGAGUGACGGUAAUGGGUAAAGAAGCACCGGCUAACUACGUGCCAGCAGCCGCGGUGAUACGUAGGGUGCGAGCGUUGUCCGGAUUUAUUGGGCGUAAAGGGCUCGUAGGUGGUUGAUCGCGUCGGAAGUGUAAUCUUGGGGCUUAACCCUGAGCGUGCUUUCGAUACGGGUUGACUUGAGGAAGGUAGGGGAGAAUGGAAUUCCUGGUGGAGCGGUGGAAUGCGCAGAUAUCAGGAGGAACACCAGUGGCGAAGGCGGUUCUCUGGGCCUUUCCUGACGCUGAGGAGCGAAAGCGUGGGGAGCGAACAGGCUUAGAUACCCUGGUAGUCCACGCUGUAAACGGUGGGUACUAGGUGUGGGGUCCAUUCCACGGGUUCCGUGCCGUAGCUAACGCUUUAAGUACCCCGCCUGGGGAGUACGGCCGCAAGGCUAAAACUCAAAGGAAUUGACGGGGCCCCGCACAAGCGGCGGAGCAUGCGGAUUAAUUCGAUGCAACGCGUAGAACCUUACCUGGGUUUGACAUGGAUCGGGAGUGCUCAGAGAUGGGUGUGCCUCUUUUGGGGUCGGUUCACAGGUGGUGCAUGGCUGUCGUCAGCUCGUGUCGUGAGAUGUUGGGUUAAGUCCCGCAACGAGCGCAACCCUUGUUCACUGUUGCCAGCACGUUAUGGUGGGGACUCAGUGGAGACCGCCGGGGUCAACUCGGAGGAAGGUGGGGAUGACGUCAAGUCAUCAUGCCCCUUAUGUCCAGGGCUUCACGCAUGCUACAAUGGCUGGUACAGAGAGUGGCGAGCCUGUGAGGGUGAGCGAAUCUCGGAAAGCCGGUCUCAGUUCGGAUUGGGGUCUGCAACUCGACCUCAUGAAGUCGGAGUCGCUAGUAAUCGCAGAUCAGCAACGCUGCGGUGAGUACGUUCCCGGGGCU